CCUCGGCACAUCACGUAACAUCACUACUGAAUUGUUUUGAGCUCUACUUCAGCAGCCCAGCUCAACUCUAUCUCGGAGUGACCGUGUUUCCACCGGCCCCUCUCGGCUCUGUAGCAGCGUGACACCUCUUGGCGGUGGGGGGGUAAAGUGCCCCACCUUCAUGUGCUAAUGAAAGAUGUUCUUCUGAUUUCAAGAAAAUGCAUGGUGGGAGGAAUGCUGAUUCUGGAGGACAGCUGAUCUCUGCCUUGCAGCGGGAGG
Xiphophorus maculatus (southern platyfish) is the source of this 258-nucleotide long non-coding RNA. RefSeq lists it as uncharacterized. Lineage: Eukaryota; Metazoa; Chordata; Actinopteri; Cyprinodontiformes; Poeciliidae. The record is from RefSeq and is a predicted model, not a curated record. The transcript has 3 exons.